This 321-nucleotide ribosomal RNA is filed under the name uncultured bacterium. RNAcentral describes it as "partial 16S ribosomal RNA". It matches the Rfam family "Bacterial small subunit ribosomal RNA", at positions 355 to 668 of the family's 1533-position model. The record is from RNAcentral.
UGGGGAAUAUUGGACAAUGGGCGAAAGCCUGAUCCAGCCAUGCCGCGUGUGUGAAGAAGGUCUUCGGAUUGUAAAGCACUUUAAGUUGGGAGGAAGGGCAUUAACCUAAUACGUUAGUGUUUUGACGUUACCGACAGAAUAAGCACCGGCUAACUCUGUGCCAGCAGCCGCGGUAAUACAGAGGGUGCAAGCGUUAAUCGGAAUUACUGGGCGUAAAGCGCGCGUAGGUGGUUUGUUAAUUUGGAUGUGAAAUCCCCGGGCUCAACCUGGGAACUGCAUUCAAAACUGACUGACUAGAGUAUGGUAGAGGGUGGUGGAAUU